AUUUGGUUUAUCACUCUCCUCUCCAGAAAUAGAAUCUUGCUGUUUCUAAGCUACUGCAAAUCUUUUUUCCACAUAUAAAAACUGGUGGGGUGCUGCCACAAUGAACUAGCCACCACCGAUACACAGACACACUCUGCAUCCACAAUGCAGAUGGCAAUGGCAGCCUAGGACACACAGCUGUCAAUGCUACAUGUAUAAAAAAGAUAGUGCUGGUACUUUAG
Pelobates cultripes (western spadefoot toad) is the source of this 221-nucleotide non-coding RNA. The record is from the annotation of a GenBank genome assembly. NCBI's taxonomy places the organism in Eukaryota, Metazoa, Chordata, Amphibia, Anura, Pelobatidae.